UAAUACGGAGGGUGCGAGCGUUAAUCGGAAUUACUGGGCGUAAAGCGUACGUAGGUGGCUUGAUAAGUCGGAUGUGAAAGCCCUGGGCUCAACCUGGGAACUGCAUUCGAUACUGUCUGGCUAGAGUAUAGUAGAGGGAAGUGGAAUUCCGGGUGUAGCGGUGAAAUGCGUAGAUAUCCGGAGGAACACCAGUGGCGAAGGCGGCUUCCUGGACUAAUACUGACACUGAGGUACGAAAGCGUGGGGAGCAAACAGGAUUAGAUACCCUGGUAGUCCACGCCCUAAACGAUGUCAACUAGCCGUUGGAGGAAUUUAAUCCUUUAGUAGCGCAGCUAACGCGAUAAGUUGACCGCCUGGGGAGUACGGUCGCAAGAUUA
Molecule: ribosomal RNA, 377 nt
Filed under: uncultured Gammaproteobacteria bacterium
Lineage: Bacteria; Pseudomonadati; Pseudomonadota; Gammaproteobacteria
Description: bacterial SSU rRNA
Rfam family: Bacterial small subunit ribosomal RNA
Source: RNAcentral